RNAcentral lists this small RNA (30 nucleotides) under Bombyx mori (domestic silkworm). RNAcentral's name for it is "piRNA piR-bmo-1677503". Lineage: Eukaryota; Metazoa; Arthropoda; Insecta; Lepidoptera; Bombycidae. The record is from RNAcentral.
AAUAACGAUACGGGACUCUUACGAGGCCUC